AUGGGCGCAACAGAAGGUAGCCCUGGCGCUGGCCUGCCACGACCAUCCGAGUUUGACUGGAUGUUCACCGACGAGGGGUGGGCCUUGCUGUCCGAGGAGACACGCCGUUCAAUUAUAGGAGUUCUGGAUGAGGACAGAGAAGAGAAGACCCGCCUCCAAGAGCGCCGUCAAUCCCGGUCCCGGAAGGACCGCCGCAAGGAUCCUCGGCCGGACAAACAGAUACAACCUAGUAAGAGCCUCGACCCUAACCUGUCGAGGGAUGUUCGGGAUUCAGAUCAACUUUUGUGGAUCCGACAACAUCGCAUGCUCAACCAUUCAGAAUCUGCGCCGCCGCCGAUGCGCUAUACUUCCUGCCAACUCCUCGGGAAUGGAUGCUCUCAUUAUCCUCAUCCUAUGCUACAAUUCUUUGGUAUUUUUGUCCAGUUUUACAGGAACGCCUUGAAUAUCAUGUGUGGCAAUACACAUAUUGAUGUAUAUGGCUUGCUUGCUGUAAGGGAUUCCUUGGAUCCUUCCCGGAACUAUAUUUUUCACCGCUCGAGAGAGAAUGCUCAAGCUAUCGACGUGAAUGGUGGCUAUCUAAGUCUGAGCUACCCUGCACGGGGCAUAUCUGCAAUGGGCUGCCUGAUUGAGACUGAUAUAAAGAUCAAGGGCAAGGAAGUUGGCAAAGAUUUGUCGAUUAUUGAUGGAUCUGUGAAAGCCUUUGGGCAGUUUGACUCGAGGACUGCUAACCAUGUUGAUAACGUCAAUGGUAAAAUUAUAUUCAAGACACAUGUUGUUCGUAAAGGUGUCGAGGCAACUAUAGACCUCGAUUUUGUGGAGGUGCCAAUAGACAGCUUCAAUGUGCGGAUGCGUGGUAAAACUGUCCGUGGUAAAGCUGUUUACUCCUUUAUCACUGAGUGUUGUGAUGAUGACAGUUUUAUAGCUUCACCUGGGAAGCAUAAUAAGAAGUUUGUAGCGGCUGUGAGCAUAGGUGAUACACUAUGUGUAGACUUCAUGGAGAAAAGGCGAGAAGCGCUCUCUUUUGUAUCAUCCAAGCACGGCAACGAGCAGCUACCUUACCGAUUCAGCAAUGGAGCUUUGGUCUUUGUUAAAGUCUAUUGGUCAACCAUCGUCAAGGGUUGA
This 1122-nucleotide ribosomal RNA is filed under the name Triticum aestivum (bread wheat). RNAcentral's name for it is "partial small subunit ribosomal RNA". Lineage: Eukaryota; Viridiplantae; Streptophyta; Magnoliopsida; Poales; Poaceae. The record is from RNAcentral.